GAGGGUAACAGCUCAGUGGUAAGCGCGUGCUUAGCAUGCAUGAGACCCUGGGUUCUAUCCCCGGUACCUCCA
RNAcentral lists this transfer RNA (72 nucleotides) under Camelus bactrianus (Bactrian camel). It matches the Rfam family "tRNA". Rfam says of the family: Transfer RNA (tRNA) molecules are approximately 80 nucleotides in length. Their secondary structure includes four short double-helical elements and three loops (D, anti-codon, and T loops). The record is from Rfam by way of RNAcentral. RNAcentral also lists the same sequence under 2 other names. Lineage: Eukaryota; Metazoa; Chordata; Mammalia; Artiodactyla; Camelidae.